UAAACGUAGAUUGCUCUGUUGGGAUCCUUGGCGCAAUUAUAAAAAAACGUGAACCACUCCCUCCUGAGAAUGGGUUAGAGAUGGAAACCGCGUCUUUUCCGAAUACCUUCUGCGAUGCAUCUUCCCAGUGGAAAAUUUCGGGUGGGUUAGCUCCCCCAUAUCACUAAUGUGUGAGGGAACGGCUCACCAAGGCGCCAACGGGAACCGGGCCUGAGAGGCUGACCCCCCCCCCCUGGGAACUGAGACCCAGCCCUAGACUCCUUCGGGAGACAGCAAUGGGGAAUUUUGCACAAUGGGCGAAAGCCUGAUGCACCACCCCCCCGUGAGGGACAACCGCCUUUCGGGUUGUAAACCUCUUUUAACCGGGAAAAAACUAAAGGGACGGUCCCUGCAAAAAAAAGCGCCGGCUAACUACGUGCCAGCAGCCCCUGGUAAUACGUAGGGCGCAAGCGUUUUCCGGAAUUAUUGGGCAAAAAGAGCUCGAAGCGGUUUGUCGCGUCUGCUGUGAAAACCCGAAGUUCACCUCGACCUGCAGUGGGUACCGGCAGACUAGAGUGCGGUAGGGGAGAUUGGAAUUCCUGCGUGUAGCGUGAAAUGCGCAGAUAUCAGGAGGGAACACCGAUGCCGAAGGCAAUCUCUGGGCCCGUAACUGACGCUGAGAGCGAAAGGGUGGGGAGCAAACAGGCUUAGAUCCCUGGUAGUCCACCCCGUAAACGUUGGGAACUAGUUGUGGGGACCAUUCCACGGUCUCCGUGACGCAGCUAACGCAUUAAGUUCUCCGCCUGGGGAGUACGCCGCAAGACUAAAACUCAAAGGAAUUGACGGGGACCCGCACAAGCGCCGGAGCAUGCGGAUUAUUUGAUGCACCGCGAAGAACCUUACCAAGGCUUGACAUAUACGAGAACGGGCCAGAAAUAGUCAACUCUUUGGACACUCGUAAACAGGUGGUGCAUGGUUGUCGUCAGCUCGUGUCGUGAGAUGUUGGGUUAAGUCCCGCAACGAGCGCAACCCUCGUUUUAUGUUGCCAGCACGUAAUGGUGGGAACUCAUGGGAUACUGCCGGGGUCAACUCGGAGGAAGGUGGGGAUGACGUCAAAUCAUCAUCCCCCUUAUGUCUUGGGCUUCACGCAUGCUACAAUGGCCGGUACAAAGGGCUGCAAUACCGCGAGGUGGAGCGAAUCCCAAAAAGCCGGUCCCAGUUCGGAUUGAGCUCUGCACCUCGCCCUCACGAAGUCGGAGUCGCUAGUAAUCGCAGAUCAGCACCGCUGCGGUGAAUACGUCCCGGGUCUUGUACACACCGCCCGUCAAGUCAUGAGAGUCUAUCACACGUGAAGCCGUGAUCGAUCCGUGUUGA
Molecule: ribosomal RNA, 1353 nt
Filed under: Microbacterium sp. B9
Lineage: Bacteria; Bacillati; Actinomycetota; Actinomycetes; Micrococcales; Microbacteriaceae
Description: partial 16S ribosomal RNA
Rfam family: Bacterial small subunit ribosomal RNA
Source: RNAcentral